RNAcentral lists this transfer RNA (68 nucleotides) under Dopasia gracilis (Burmese glass lizard). RNAcentral's name for it is "tRNA-Val". It matches the Rfam family "tRNA". From Rfam's summary of the family: Transfer RNA (tRNA) molecules are approximately 80 nucleotides in length. Their secondary structure includes four short double-helical elements and three loops (D, anti-codon, and T loops). Further hydrogen bonds mediate the characteristic L-shaped molecular structure. tRNAs have two regions of fundamental functional importance: the anti-codon, which is responsible for specific mRNA codon recognition, and the 3' end, to which the tRNAs corresponding amino acid is attached (by aminoacyl-tRNA synthetases). tRNAs cope with the degeneracy of the genetic code in two manners: having more than one tRNA (with a specific anti-codon) for a particular amino acid; and 'wobble' base-pairing, i.e. permitting non-standard base-pairing at the 3rd anti-codon position. The record is from RNAcentral. Lineage: Eukaryota; Metazoa; Chordata; Lepidosauria; Squamata; Anguidae.
CAAAAAGUAGCUUAAACAAAGCAUUUAAUUUACAAUUAAAAACUGUCAAUCAAUCCUGACCUUUUUGA